This 64-nucleotide transfer RNA is filed under the name Pandarus rhincodonicus. RNAcentral describes it as "tRNA-Lys". Lineage: Eukaryota; Metazoa; Arthropoda; Copepoda; Siphonostomatoida; Pandaridae. The record is from RNAcentral.
GGAAAAAUAAUCUAAAAAAGAUACCAAAUUUUUAUUUUGGGUAUAGAGAAUUAUCUUUUUUCCU